AUACGAAGGUCCCAAGCGUUAUUCGGAAUCACUGGGCGUAAAGAGUACGUAGGCGGUUUGGUAAGUCAGGUGUGAAAUCCCGGAGCUCAACUCCGGAACUGCAUCCGAUACUGCCAGACUUGAGUAAUGGAGAGGCAGGUGGAAUUCUCGGUGUAGCAGUGAAAUGCGUGGAUAUCGAGAGGAAGACCAAUGGCGAAGGCAGCCUGCUGGACAUUUACUGACGCUGAGAUACGAAGGCUAGGGGAGCGAAAGGGAUUAGAAACCCGGGUAGUCC
This 274-nucleotide ribosomal RNA is filed under the name uncultured bacterium. RNAcentral describes it as "partial 16S ribosomal RNA". It matches the Rfam family "Bacterial small subunit ribosomal RNA", at positions 523 to 796 of the family's 1533-position model. The record is from RNAcentral.